This 457-nucleotide ribosomal RNA is filed under the name uncultured bacterium. RNAcentral describes it as "bacterial SSU rRNA". It matches the Rfam family "Bacterial small subunit ribosomal RNA", at positions 28 to 508 of the family's 1533-position model. The record is from RNAcentral.
GAUGAACGCUGGCGGUAUGCUUAACACAUGCAAGUCGAACGAAAUACGAUGGGGUUUACUCUAUCGUAUGGCAGUGGCGGACGGGUGCGUAACGCGUAAGAACUUACCUUUUGGCGAGGGACAACCGCGGGAAACUGCGGCUAAUACCUCAUAGAGCUGAGGAGCGAAAGGUGAAAACCACCAAAAGAGAGGCUUGCGUCUGAUUAGCUAGUUGGUGAGGGUAAUGGCCUCCCAAGGCGACGAUCAGUAGCUGGUCUGAGAGGAUGAUCAGCCACACUGGAACUGAGACACGGUCCAGACUCCUACGGGAGGCAGCAGUGAGGAAUUUUCCGCAAUGGGCGAAAGCCUGACGGAGCAAUACCGCGUGGAGGAGGAAGGCCCGUGGGUCGUAAACUCCUUUUCUCAGAGAAGAACACAAUGACGGUAUCUGAGGAAUAAGCAUMGGCUAACUCCGUGC